Molecule: signal recognition particle RNA, 303 nt
Filed under: Zostera marina
Lineage: Eukaryota; Viridiplantae; Streptophyta; Magnoliopsida; Alismatales; Zosteraceae
Description: Plant signal recognition particle RNA
Rfam family: Plant signal recognition particle RNA
Source: Rfam by way of RNAcentral
GCUGAGCUCGGUAACGUGGGCUUGUCACCAAGUGGAGCAUUAAGGUAUUUGGAUAAUUUGGUAUUGAAUUCAAGGUUUACAUUAUGAGCUAGCUUUGAUUUGCCCGUUUCCAAGUGGGCAGUGGAUGCUAUGUUUCAGGCUAAUGCUUGAAUCAUAUUCUCCCUAAACUUGAGGGUAAUGCGUGAUGCUGGCUGGCUUCACAGAGCAGCGAUUACCUCUCACUCUCAACGGUGGAAGGAUUACAAGUCAUUUGCUCAUAUUGUCAAUUACACUUGGAAUCCACCAAAUUCAACAAAUAUUUUU